CCUUUGUGAACAUACCUAUAACUGUUGCUUCGGCGGGUAGGGUCUCCGUGACCCUCCCGGCCUCCCGCCCCCGGGCGGGUCGGCGCCCGCCGGAGGAUAACCAAACUCUGAUUUAACGACGUUUCUUCUGAGUGGUACAAGCAAAUAAUCAAAACUUUUAACAACGGAUCUCUUGGUUCUGGCAUCGAUGAAGAACGCAGCGAAAUGCGAUAAGUAAUGUGAAUUGCAGAAUUCAGUGAAUCAUCGAAUCUUUGAACGCACAUUGCGCCCGCCAGCAUUCUGGCGGGCAUGCCUGUUCGAGCGUCAUUUCAACCCUCAAGCUCUGCUUGGUGUUGGGGCCCUACAGCUGAUGUAGGCCCUCAAAGGUAGUGGCGGACCCUCCCGGAGCCUCCUUUGCGUAGUAACUUUACGUCUCGCACUGGGAUCCGGAGGGACUCUUGCCGUAAAACCCCCAAUUUUCCAAAGGUUGACCUCGGAUCAGGUAGGAAUACCCGCUGAACUUAAG
Molecule: ribosomal RNA, 505 nt
Filed under: Colletotrichum fructicola
Lineage: Eukaryota; Fungi; Ascomycota; Sordariomycetes; Glomerellales; Glomerellaceae
Description: eukaryotic LSU rRNA
Rfam family: 5.8S ribosomal RNA (bases 153-306)
Source: RNAcentral